This 439-nucleotide ribosomal RNA is filed under the name uncultured bacterium. RNAcentral's name for it is "bacterial SSU rRNA". It matches the Rfam family "Bacterial small subunit ribosomal RNA", at positions 958 to 1398 of the family's 1533-position model. The record is from RNAcentral.
AACGCGAAGAACCUUACCUACCCUUGACAUCCUCGGGAUCUGCUAGAGAUAGUGGAGUGCCUUCGGGAACCGAGAGACAGGUGCUGCAUGGCUGUCGUCAGCUCGUGUCGUGAGAUGUUGGGUUAAGUCCCGUAACGAGCGCAACCCUUGUCCUUAGUUGCUAGCAGGUAAAGCUGAGAACUCUAAGGAGACUGCCGGUGAUAAGCCGGAGGAAGGUGGGGAUGACGUCAAGUCCUCAUGGCCCUUACGGGUAGGGCUACACACGUGCUACAAUGGACGGUACAAAGGGAAGCGAAGCUGCGAAGUGAAGCGAAUCUUAGAAAGCCGUUCGUAGUCCGGAUUGGAGUCUGCAACUCGACUCCAUGAAGUUGGAAUCGCUAGUAAUCGCGGAUCAGAACGCCGCGGUGAAUACGUUCCCGGGCCUUGUACACACCCUGUA